Long non-coding RNA from Papaver somniferum (opium poppy), 383 nucleotides. RefSeq lists it as uncharacterized. Lineage: Eukaryota; Viridiplantae; Streptophyta; Magnoliopsida; Ranunculales; Papaveraceae. The record is from RefSeq and is a predicted model, not a curated record. The transcript has 2 exons.
UUGAUUCAUUGAACGACAAUAGUCAAAAAAUGUCAUCACAAGUUUAGAUGAAAACUAUCCUCCCACUUCACCUAGUUUUUUGCAUAUGUUGAACCAAAAAAUGCACUUGUCAAUCGAUUAGUUUCAAUUGUCAAUCCACUAAGUAUGCCGCCAUCUUAUGACGUGAUGCACAGAGGUGGUGCCGGUGGUGGCGGCGGAGCUGUUGAUGCUGGUGUUAAUGAAUUGAAGGUGGGGUUGGGGAUGAUCAUCAAGAACAGAAAAGGAAAAAACAAAGCAACUGCGGAAGAACAGUAACUGUAACAAUUGAAAUUACACGAUUGAUUUACUAAUAUUUUCAUUUGAUUACUAUCAGGAAAAGAAGUUUAUGCUUGAGUUUCUCUAAA